GUCUUUCCUUAAACUUCCGGUCAAGGUGACUCCACCACCUCCCUGGGCAGGCCGUUGCCGUGUCUAAUCACCCUUUCUGUGAAGAAACUACUCCUGAUGUACAACUUGAGUCUCCCCUACCUCAGCUCGAGGCUCUGCCCUCUUCUCCUGGCACCUGAUGUUGUGAAAAGAGGCCGACCCCCACCUGGCUGCACCCUCCCUUCAGGCAGCUGUAGACUGCAAAGAGGUCUCCCCUGAGACUGCUCCAGGCUAAAACACCCGCAGCUCUCUCAGCCUGGAGUGGUGCAGGACUUGUGCUCCAGACUCUGCUGCCUCAGGCCUGCACAGGUGUUUUCCAGUACCCCUGGAAUAAACUUCUUCAUAACUUUACCAGGCACUGGAGUGAGACUGACAGGCCUGUCAUUUCCUGGGUCCUCCUUGCCCUUCCUGAAAGUCAGUUUGUGAUUUCAAGCUAUAGCCUAGAUGUUAAAGCUGUUUUUGAGGUUGUUAUGCUACCAACAUACUGGAGCUCCGAAAAAUUGGGUUGUUGCUGGUCCUGCUGAAGUGUGACAUGUGUCUGACCAGCACAUACCAACCUGCACUGCAGUGCCAGCCAUCUCCAAGGAAAGCUUUCACAAGGAAGCUACAAUCCUUCAGCUGCCACCCAUCACAAUUCCAGAUUUCUAAACAGAGAAUUUUUCACCAUUCUUCAGCAUUCCUUAAUCAGAUGAAACUGAUUAUUUGAAGGAAAAAGGGUCAAGGGGGUGUUUUCUACUAUUUUUCAUUCCAAGAUUUCUGCCAAGGCUGAAAUACUACAGAAAUACUCUUCAAUCUUCUAGUUGUAGCUGAGCAAUUAGAUGUAUUGAGCCAGAAGAGGAAGUCCAUGAGAAGCACAGAGAAUGGAGCAACAAACAUUUGUGGAUGCCCCGGGAUACAGCAGUAAGACCCAUGUGUUGGUGUUAAUGAGAGCCUUCUUUUUAUUGACAAUGGCUGGAAAUACUGGCAGUGGAAAUGUGCUGCCCAGAAUAUAUCCCUCAAGCUACAGUAGGAUCCUGUAGGCACGGUUGAUUCUGUGUUGACUUCUGCAAUGGUUAGUCACAAGCCAGACUCUCUUUAGUAAAAUUCCUCUUCUUAAAGUUUGAUUUACUAACCUUUUACAAAUACAAUA
Agelaius phoeniceus (red-winged blackbird) is the source of this 1147-nucleotide non-coding RNA. The record is from RefSeq and is a predicted model, not a curated record. Lineage: Eukaryota; Metazoa; Chordata; Aves; Passeriformes; Icteridae.